AUGUCUGUUUCCCAACUUCAUGCGACAUUAAGACCAGCUCUUCUUUUGUUCCUGUCCAAGUCCGGGCAGCAGAACCAGUAUACCAUCGCCCAUGCCCUUGGUGUGUGUGCCAGAACUAAAGAGAACAUACUCAAGAUUGCAGAUACCCCAGCGGAGCUACAUGGGGCAGUUAAAUCUGAUUGUAAACAAGGUUCCCGAGUAGUUUCUACUCUGUAUCUAAAAAAAUGCAUCCGAUGGAAAAAACUUUUAAUAUUGAGAUGUAUUUCAGGAAGCGGAUUAGGAGCACUCGGGUGCUCCGCCCCCCUAUAG
Molecule: ribosomal RNA, 309 nt
Filed under: Triticum aestivum (bread wheat)
Lineage: Eukaryota; Viridiplantae; Streptophyta; Magnoliopsida; Poales; Poaceae
Description: partial small subunit ribosomal RNA
Source: RNAcentral